This 929-nucleotide long non-coding RNA is filed under the name Numida meleagris (helmeted guineafowl). RNAcentral describes it as "lncRNA (ENSNMEG00000006555.1)". Lineage: Eukaryota; Metazoa; Chordata; Aves; Galliformes; Numididae. The record is from RNAcentral.
UUGCUGACCGGUGUGCCUAACGAGCGGCCGGCACCUGCGGCGCUGUCGGGGAUCCGUGCGAGCCCCGCGGGGCUGCGUGACGCUCCUGAGCUCCGGGAGCACCGCGCUGCUCCGCCGUGCGGGCGGGAGGGGGGACCGGGACCCGGACCCGCCGCAGGACCCCGCCCGUUCUCCCCCGUGGAACGAGGACGGCGCUCCGCUGUCCGCUGGAGCAGCACGCUGAGGGGCUGUAACCGCGCGUUCCCAGCACUCGGGUUCUGCACGCCAUGGGGAGCAGCCAGCAGGUGCGUGCGGGAGGAGCUGCAGUCUGGAUACCUGCCCUGCUCAGGUACGGAAGCGUCCCCUGCCAGGGGGGGACUUGUCUGCCACGGGCCUGAUCCUGUUCCCACCAAAGCACUGCCGGUGCCGUCGGUGGAAGCGGAGCAGGCUGACGGCAGCUGAGCGGCGUCUGGCAGGACCAGGCUCCCUGCAGGAGGCCUCCUGCUGGGCCAAAACGUGUGAAAGUCUUCCCCUGAUCUCGUAGGACGUGCUUGACAUCCAGUACCGGUGGUGACAAGACGAAGACGAGAGGCAACGUGUAUGAGGCUACUGAAAAUAGCAAAUCAAACAGUUGGUCAGGAAACCAGCUGAGGAGUGUGCCAUCCACUUAACUGGGAAGAGACGUCUCCAUUCCCUGGCUCACGCUCAUCCUUCCAUGCAUGGAGGUACGAUACUUGCCAUGAUUUUUUGUGCUGGGUGUCGGUCUGUGUUGUUAUGAGUGGUUCUUUGAUACAAGUGAAGAGCAAGAGUAGUAAAAAAAAAAAAAAAAAAGUGAGAAUAGGUUGUUGGUGGAUGUAACUCACAGUCUCUGUAACAGCAUCAAUCUCUUCAUUUCUAAAGGCUGUUGAGGACUUUUCUCUUUAAACCUAAGUAGUUUCUGCAGUAUCCCG